UGAUCCUGGCUCAGAUUGAACGCUAGCGGGAUGCUUUACACAUGCAAGUCGAACGGCAGCGCGGACUUCGGUCUGGCGGCGAGUGGCGAACGGGUGAGUAAUGUAUCGGAACGUGCCUAGUAGCGGGGGAUAACUACGCGAAAGCGUAGCUAAUACCGCAUACGCCCUUUGGGGGAAAGCGGGGGACCUUCGGGCCUCGCACUAUUAGAGCGGCCGAUAUCGGAUUAGCUAGUUGGUGGGGUAAAGGCUCACCAAGGCGACACGAUCCGGUAGCCUGGUUGUGAGAGGACGACGAGCCACACUGGCCCACCACCCUGGGACUGAGACACGGCCCAGAGACUCCCUCACGGGAGGGCAGACCAGUUGGGGAAAUUUUGGAACAAUUGGGGGCCAACCCUGAUCCCAGCCAUCCCGCGCGUGUGGCGAAUGAAGGCCUUCCGGGUUGUAAAGGCACUUUUGGCAAGGAAAGAAACCGGCCUUGGAAUAAUACCUGAAGGCAACUGACCGGUACCUGGCAAGAAUAAAGCCACCGGGCUAACUACGUGGCCAGCAGCCCGCGCGGUAAUAACGUAGGGUNUGCAAGUCGCUUAAUCGGAAUUACUGGGCGUAAAGCCGUGCGGCAGGCGGUUCGGAAAGAAAGGAUGUGGAAAUCCCAGAAGCUUAACUUUGGGAACUGCAUUUUUAACUACCGGGCUAGAGUGGUGUCAGAGGGAGGUGGGAAUUCCGCGUGUAGCAGUGAAAUGCGUAGAGAUGCGGAGGAACACCGAUGGCGAAGGCAGCCUCCUGGGAUAACACUGACGCUCAUGCACGAAAGCGUGGGGAGCAAACAGGAUUAGAUACCUCUGGUAGUCCACGCCCUAAACGAUGUCAACUAGCUGUUGGGGCCCUUCGGGCCCUUGGUAGCGCAGCUAACGCGUGAAGUUGACCCGCCUUGGGGACGCAACGGUCGCAAGAUUAAAACUCAAAGGAAUUGACGGGGACCCGCACAAGCGGUGGAUGAUGUGGAUUAAUUCGAUGCAACGCGAAAAACCUUACCUACCCUUGACAUGUCUGGAAUGCCGAAGAGAUUUGGCAGUGCUCGCAAGAGAACUGGAACACAGGUGCUGCAUGGCUGUCGUCAGCUCGUGUCGUGAGAUGUUGGGUUAAGUCCCGCAACGAGCGCAACCCUUGUCAUUAGUUGCUACGAAAGGGCACUCUAAUGAGACUGCCGGUGACAAACCGGAGGAAGGUGGGGAUGACGUCAAGUCCUCAUGGCCCUUAUGGGUAGGGCUUCACACGUCAUACAAUGGUCGGGACAGAGGGUUGCCAAGCCGCGAGGUGGAGCUAAUCUCAUAAACCCGAUCGUAGUCCGGAUCGCAGUCUGCAACUCGACUGCGUGAAGUCGGAAUCGCUAGUAAUCGCGG
Molecule: ribosomal RNA, 1403 nt
Filed under: Bordetella sp. SPB-24
Lineage: Bacteria; Pseudomonadati; Pseudomonadota; Betaproteobacteria; Burkholderiales; Alcaligenaceae
Description: bacterial SSU rRNA
Rfam family: Bacterial small subunit ribosomal RNA
Source: RNAcentral